RNAcentral lists this ribosomal RNA (207 nucleotides) under uncultured Saccharofermentans sp. RNAcentral describes it as "partial 16S ribosomal RNA". It matches the Rfam family "Bacterial small subunit ribosomal RNA", at positions 568 to 774 of the family's 1533-position model. The record is from RNAcentral. Lineage: Bacteria; Bacillati; Bacillota; Clostridia; Eubacteriales; Oscillospiraceae.
CGUGUAGGCGGUUUUGCAAGUCAGAUGUGAAAUUCCCAGGCUUAACCUGGGCGCUGCAUCUGAAACUGCAAGACUUGAGUACUGGAGAGGAUAGUGGAAUUCCUAGUGUAGCGGUAAAAUGCGCAGAUAUUAGGAGGAACACCGGUGGCGAAGGCGACUAUCUGGACAGUAACUGACGCUGAGGCGCGAAAGCGUGGGGAGCAAACA